GGGGAACAACAGCUGGAACGGCUGCUAAUACCCCAUAGGCUGAGGAGCAAAAGGAGGAAUCCGCCCAAGGAGGGGCUCGCGUCUGAUUAGUUAGUUGGUGAGGCAAUGGCUUACCAAGGCGACGAUCAGUAGCUGGUCCGAGAGGAUGAUCAGCCACACUGGGACUGAGACACGGCCCAGACUCCUACGGGAGGCAGCAGUGGGGAAUUUUCCGCAAUGGGCGAAAGCCUGAUGGAGCAAUGCCGCGUGAAGGCAGAAGGCCCACGGGUCAUGAACUUCUUUUCUCG
This 287-nucleotide ribosomal RNA is filed under the name uncultured organism. RNAcentral describes it as "partial 16S ribosomal RNA". It matches the Rfam family "Bacterial small subunit ribosomal RNA", at positions 138 to 441 of the family's 1533-position model. The record is from RNAcentral.